Oncorhynchus tshawytscha (Chinook salmon) is the source of this 4657-nucleotide long non-coding RNA. The record is from Ensembl. Lineage: Eukaryota; Metazoa; Chordata; Actinopteri; Salmoniformes; Salmonidae.
GGCGAUUUUAGCAUGGAAAUAUUGGUGAGGCAAACAAUUGUAUGUUUUAUUUAUUUAUGCCAGCAAAGCCACUACACAACACUACACAAUACAUUAAUUGCACUAUAACGGUGACAUACAAUGGUGUAAAGUACUUAAGUAAAAAAUACUUUAAAGUACUACUUAAGUCGUUUUUUUGAGUAUCUGUACUUUACUUUACUAUUUAUAUUUUUUAUGACUUUUACUUAUACUUCACUACAUUCCUGAAGGAAAUAAUAACAUAGCUAAUAUGGCUGAUUUGCUUAAACAAAUGUGGUUUCUAUUGACAAUUGACAUGUACAAACUAUGGCAUAAGGGGACAACGAGCGGAUAAGAGGCAAUCCGUAAUUUCGAUAAAGACCUUAAUGAGUGAGCUGGGACGGAUGUAGUCAAUAUAACUAUUUGUUCAACACUUUUGAAAUGUACAGCGACAGAAUUCAGAACAUGGGCCAUUCUUACAGUAUUCUCCCUGUACACCAAGUCAGAGCCAUAGGAUAAAUAAAGGCAUAUAUUUUUUUAUUUUACCUUCAUUUAACUAGGCAAGUCAGUUAAGAACAAAUUAGCUUCACUCUUGUGUAUUUUAUUUGUCUUUGUCGCGUGUUAAUAUUAUUUUGUUUAACUCGGCAUCAUUGGGUUGUAUUCUGGGUCAUGUGACAAAUACUAUUUAUUUUGUAGUGGAGGAGGGCAACAACAUUAACAAACGUGUGGUCCUGAGCAAAGACUUAUUGUUCAGAUUUGAAGGGGUCUAGUGACAUCUAGUGGUCAACACAUGCAUAGCCUGUGAGGUGGUUAAUGGAAACACAAUUUCACCUGUAUUUGGAAAACAGUAUAAAAGUGGGACAAAGAGUACAAAUGUGUAGGCAUUGGGGUAAAAAUGAGGACAAACAUUUUGCAAAGUAUGAGGUUUCCCCCAAGACUAAUGGUUUGUCUGGAUGGGCUCAUUUCAGACACAUAAAAUUAGUACUUGUCUCCCUUCACCAACAGAUGUCUCCCUAGACUUUGAAAAUGGACUCGUCACAAUUGCAAGUUGGGAUUCUUGGGACAUACAUACCAUAAAGCCUAACCCUAACCUUAACCCCUAUCCUAUCCUACCCUACCCUUACCUAACCUUAACCAUAACCUUUGGUAUUUGGUAUGUUAUUAGGAUUCCCAAUUAGCUGUUGAGAAAGCAGCAGCUACUCUUCCUGGGGUCCAACACAGAACAUGAACCAUGACAUAAUACAGAACAUUAUUAGACAACAGCUCAAGGACAGAACUAUAUCAACACCUUAAUAACCCUUAACCCUUAACCAUUUUAAAUAUCAACUUCAACGGGGUGACGUCAGAGUUGGGACAUCCCAAGAAUCCCAUUUAGAACAUGUCUCAUAUUACACGAAACGUUUAGGCUACAUAAUGUGACUUUUCUAUGUACAUGGAUUACACAGGUCAAACUAAACCAGUCGUCUAUUAGACUGUCCACCUCCAAAGAGCAGGCGAUGUAGACCUAUUCAUGGAAACCAGAAGCAGUUAGCUUGUCUGUCUAGACUGAGACAGAGAGCAGGCUUGUCUGUCUAGACUGAGACAGAGAGCAGGCUUGUCUGUCUAGACUGAGACAGAGAGCAGGAUUGUCUGUCUAGACUGAGACAGAGAGUAGGCUUGUCUGUCUAGACUGAGACAGAGAGUAGGCUUGUCUGUCUAGACUGAGACAGAGAGCAGGCUUGUCUGUCUAGACUGAGACAGAGAGUAGGCUUUUCCGUCUAGACUGAGACAGACAGCAGGCUUGUCCGUCUAGACUGAGACAGAGAGUAGGCUUGUCCGUCUAGACUGAGACAGAGAGUAGGCUUGUCCGUCAAAGACUGAGACAGAUAGCAGUCUUGUCUGUCUAGACUGAGACAGAGAGUUGACUGAAACAGAGAGUAGACUGAGACAGAGAGUAGACUGAGACAGAGAGUAGGCUUGUCCGUAUAGACUGAGACAGAGAGUAGACUGAGACAGAGAGCAGGCUUGUCCGUCUAGACUGAGACAGAGAGCAGGCUUGUCCGUAUAGACUGAGACAGAGAGUAGGCUUGUCUGUCUAGACUGAGACAGAGAGUAGGCUUGUCUGUCUAGACUGAGACAGAGAGUAGGCUUGUCCGUCUAGACUGAGACAGAGAGUAGGCUUGUCCGUCUAGACUGAGACAGAGAGUAGGCUUGUCUGUCUAGCCUGAGACAGAUAGCAGGCUUGUCUGUCUAGACUGAGACAGAGAGUAGGCUUGUCUGUCUAGACUGAGACAGAUAGCAGAUAGGCUUGUAGCUGGUCCUCCUCUAGGGGGUAGCUGGUCCUCCUCUAGGGGGGUAGCUGGUCCUCAAAUAGGGAGGUAGCUGGUCCUCCUCUAGGGGGGUAGCUGGUCCUCCUCUAGGGGGUAGCUGGUCCUCCUCUAGGGGGGUAGCUGGUCCUCUUCUAACUAUGUUGAUAUUUAUCACACAUUUUAGUUUCAGAGCUCAGCUAAAAAAGUGUGAACUUUUUUUUUGUAUUUCUGUUCAGUUCUAUUUGUGGACCACAGGAAGGGCUUCUGCAUGUACAGCGGCUAAUGUUGCUCCUCAUCAACUAAACUAAACCAUUCAAAUCAAAUCAAAAUGUAUUGGUCACAUACACAUGGUUAGCAGAUAUUGCGAGUGUAAUGAAAUGAUUGUGCUUCUAGUUCCGACAGUGCAGUAAUAUCUAACAGGGAAUCUAACAAUUCCACAACAACUACCUAAUACACACAAAUCUAAGUAAAGGAAUGGAAUAAGAAUAUAUACAUAUAAAUACUGUAUAUGGAUGAGCAAUGACAGAGCAGCACAGGCAAGAUGCAAUAGGCGGUAUAAAAUACAAUAUAUACAUAUGAGAUGAGUAAUGCAAGAUAUGUAAACACUAUUAAAGUGGCAUUAUUAAAGUGACUAGUGAUCCAUUUUUUAAAGUGGCCGAUUAGUCUGUAUGUAGGCAGCUGCCUCUCUUAGUUAGUGAUGGCUGUAUAACAUUCUGAUGGCCUUGAGAUUCUAUAUGCAUUCUGAGCGUUUUGUCAGUAACAUAAAGACAGCAUCUGACACAAUAUAGAGUUUUUCUCCAACAUCCAAUGAACGUCCUGUCAAGUGUUUUUUUAAUUUGAUUAUUUUUAUCCAAUUAGAUCAGCGCAUGGUUUUAUCAUCUGCUUACAGGAAAUCCCCCAAGAUGUAUCGAGGUCAUAUCAGACUCAGAGAUCCUGUCACGAAACAGAAAAUAAAGUGAAUGUAUCUGUUUUGUACCGUAGCAGUUUGUUGUUUCCUUUCUGUAUCCAGGCGAUGUAGGGCAACACACCAGAUGUUGAUGACUAAACCAUGUUUGUUCUGUCAGGUGGACGCUGAUUGAGAUAUCCCACCCACCCAACCACUCCUGAAUGAAUGAAUGCGUUUCUAUGGUGACCUAAACUCUCAACUGGAGCACACGCUGCUUUCACUUCAUUACACCUACGUUCCAAAUGGAACCCUAUUCCCUAUAUAGUGCACUACUUUAGACCAGAGUCCUAUGGAACCCUAUUCCCUAUAUAGUGCACUACUUUAGACCAGAGUCCUAUGGAACCCUAUUCCCUAUAUAGUGCACUACUUUUGACCAAAGCCCCACGAGCCACUCCCCUACACAACAUUUACACAACGACUCUCUCAUCUGUCCAUUGAUGGAUCUGAAUACAGCUGGAAUAUUUUCAAGGAGUUCUAGUUUUAGAUAACCAGUUUGUUUACCACAAUCAAAUCAAAUCAAAUUUUAUGAGUACUGUAGUAUACUUCCCUCUCUCUCCCAGCAAACAGACCAUACAAACCAUUACUGUAGUAUACUUCCCUCUCUCUCCCAGCAAACAGACCAUACAAACCAUUACUGUAGUAUACUUCCCUCUCUAACCCAGCAAACAGACCAUACAAACCAUUACUGUAGUAUACUUCCCUCUCUAACCCAGCAAACAGACCAUACAAACCAUUACUGUAGUAUACUUCCCUCUCUAACCCAGCAAACAGACCAUACAAACCAUUACUGUAGUAUACUUCCCUCUCUAACCCAGCAAACAGACCAUACAAACCAUUACUGUAGUAUACUUCCCUCUCUAACCCAGCAAACAGACCAUACACACCAUUACUGUAGUAUACUUCCCUCUCUAACCCAGCAAACAGACCAUACACACAGGCAAUAUUGUACACACUAAUGUUAAAUGUAUCUGGAAAAUAGUACACAACUCCAAGUGCCACUAUUCUGGAUUUAAUUAUCAUUGUUAAACAUCAUCAUAUAAUAUUAAAAACAGCAACUCACCUAAUGUACAAUACAGUACUACACUUACAUGCAAAUUGCCCAAUAGCCAGCUAUGCCCAGGCCAACAAAACACAACGAGAAAAAUAUAAGCAUCAUUCACAACACAGUCUUGAACAUUGAGCCUUCUCCUGCUUUUUCAAAUAGAUACACUUUAAUUUACCAGUAGGCUACCUGUAUUAUUCUGUAUUAAUUUACCAGUAGGCUACCUGUAUUAUUCUGUAUUCAUUUACCAGUAGGCUACCAGUAUUAAUUUACCAGUAGGCUACCUGUAUUAUUCUGUAUUCAUUUACCAGUAGGCUACCUGUAUUAUUCUGUAUUCAUUUACCAGUAGGCUACCUGUAUUAUUCUGUAUUAAUUUACCAGUAG